AUUGAACGCUGGCGGCAGGCCUAACACAUGCAAGUCGAACGAGUGGCGGACGGGUGAGUAAUGUCUGGGAAACUGCCCGAUGGAGGGGGAUAACUACUGGAAACGGUAGCUAAUACCGCAUACCAUCGGAUGUGCCCAGAUGGGAUUAGCUAGUAGGUGGGGUAACGGCUCACCUAGGCGACGAUCCCUAGCUGGUGUGAGAGGAUGACCAGCCACACGGGAACUGAGACACGGUCCAGACUCCUACGUGAGGCAGCAGUGGGGAAUAGUGCACAGUGGGCGCAAGCCUUGUGCAGCCAUGCCGCGUGUAUGAAGAAGUCCUUCGGGUUGUAAUGUACUUUCAGCGGGUAGGCGUUAGUCGCAGAAGAAGCACCGGCUAACUCCGUGCCAGCAGCCGCGGUAAUAC
This 406-nucleotide ribosomal RNA is filed under the name uncultured bacterium. RNAcentral describes it as "partial 16S ribosomal RNA". It matches the Rfam family "Bacterial small subunit ribosomal RNA", at positions 30 to 526 of the family's 1533-position model. The record is from RNAcentral.